AGCAGUGGGGAAUUUUCCGCAAUGGGCGAAAGCCUGACGGAGCAAUGCCGCGUGGAGGUAGCGGCCCCUGGGUCAUUAACUUCUUUUCCCGGAGAAGAAAAAAUGACGGUAUCCGGGGAAUAAGCAUCGGCUAACUCUGUGCCAGCAGCCGCGGUAAGACAGAGGAUGCAAGCGUUAUCCGGAAUGAUUGGGCGUAAAGCGUCUGUAGGUGGCUUUUUAAGUUCGCUGUCAAAUCCCAGGGCUCAACCCUGGACAGGUGGUGAAAACUACUAAGCUAGAGUACGGUAGGGGCAGAGGGAAUUUCCGGUGGAGCGAUGAAAUGCGUAGAGAUCGGAAAGAACACCAACGGCGAAAGCACU
Molecule: ribosomal RNA, 359 nt
Filed under: uncultured cyanobacterium
Lineage: Bacteria; Bacillati; Cyanobacteriota
Description: bacterial SSU rRNA
Rfam family: Bacterial small subunit ribosomal RNA
Source: RNAcentral